This is a non-coding RNA of Lachnoclostridium sp. An131, 170 nucleotides long. The record is from Rfam. Lineage: Bacteria; Bacillati; Bacillota; Clostridia; Lachnospirales; Lachnospiraceae.
UGUAUUGUGAGGUACAGGCGAGAAGAAGGGAUAGCGAAAUCGUAGCCUGACGGACAGAAACCUGAUAUAAGGCGUACAUGGCGGAUAAGCUGACCGUAGACAGCGAAGUCCAAAAGGCAACCGUAACCCAUGUGCGUAAAUCAGGCAGGUAGACGAGGAAAGACUGGCAG